Molecule: ribosomal RNA, 748 nt
Filed under: Salmonella enterica
Lineage: Bacteria; Pseudomonadati; Pseudomonadota; Gammaproteobacteria; Enterobacterales; Enterobacteriaceae
Description: partial 23S ribosomal RNA
Rfam family: Bacterial large subunit ribosomal RNA
Source: RNAcentral
CUAUAGCUUGACACUGAACAUUGAGCCUUGAUGUGUAGGAUAGGUGGGAGGCUUUGAAGUGUGGACGCCAGUCUGCAUGGAGCCGACCUUGAAAUACCACCCUUUAAUGUUUGAUGUUCUAACGUGGACCCGUAAUCCGGGUUGCGGACAGUGUCUGGUGGGUAGUUUGACUGGGGCGGUCUCCUCCUAAAGAGUAACGGAGGAGCACGAAGGUUGGCUAAUCCUGGUCGGACAUCAGGAGGUUAGUGCAAUGGCAUAAGCCAGCUUGACUGCGAGCGUGACGGCGCGAGCAGGUGCGAAAGCAGGUCAUAGUGAUCCGGUGGUUCUGAAUGGAAGGGCCAUCGCUCAACGGAUAAAAGGUACUCCGGGGAUAACAGGCUGAUACCGCCCAAGAGUUCAUAUCGACGGCGGUGUUUGGCACCUCGAUGUCGGCUCAUCACAUCCUGGGGCUGAAGUAGGUCCCAAGGGUAUGGCUGUUCGCCAUUUAAAGUGGUACGCGAGCUGGGUUUAGAACGUCGUGAGACAGUUCGGUCCCUAUCUGCCGUGGGCGCUGGAGAACUGAGGGGGGCUGCUCCUAGUACGAGAGGACCGGAGUGGACGCAUCACUGGUGUUCGGGUUGUCAUGCCAAUGGCACUGCCCGGUAGCUAAAUGCGGAAGAGAUAAGUGCUGAAAGCAUCUAAGCACGAAACUUGCCCCGAGAUGAGUUCUCCCUGAGACUUAGAGUCUCCUGAAGGAACGUUGAAGACG